Non-coding RNA from Podarcis lilfordi (Lilford's wall lizard), 96 nucleotides. The record is from the annotation of a GenBank genome assembly. NCBI's taxonomy places the organism in Eukaryota, Metazoa, Chordata, Lepidosauria, Squamata, Lacertidae.
GCUAGCUCAGUCAGUAGAGCAUGAGACUCUUAAUCUUAAGGUUGUGGGUUCGAGAUUAGACUAGAUGGGGUUGAACUAGAUGACCCUCGUGGUCCC